Molecule: ribosomal RNA, 443 nt
Filed under: uncultured bacterium
Lineage: Bacteria
Description: partial 16S ribosomal RNA
Rfam family: Bacterial small subunit ribosomal RNA
Source: RNAcentral
CCUACGGGUGGCAGCAGUGGGGAAUAUUGGGCAAUGGAGGAAACUCUGACCCAGCAACGCCGCGUGAAUGAUGAAGGUCUUCGGAUUGUAAAGUUCUUUUCUAAGGGAAGAAGAAAGUGACGGUACCUUAGGAAUAAGCCUCGGCUAACUACGUGCCAGCAGCCGCGGUAAUACGUAGGAGGCAAGCGUUAUCCGGAAUGACUGGGCGUAAAGGGUGCGUAGGUGGUUUGACAAGUUGGUAGCGUAACUCCGAGGCUCAACUUCGGAAUUGCCUCUGAUACUGUUCGGCUAGAGAGUAGUUGCGGUAGGCGGAAUGUAUGGUGUAGCGGUGAAAUGCUUAGAGAUCAUACAGAACACCGAUUGCGAAGGCAGCUUACCAAGCUACUUCUGACGUUGAGGCACGAAAGCGUGGGGAGCAAACAGGAUUAGAUACCCGUGUAGUC